RNAcentral lists this ribosomal RNA (489 nucleotides) under Escherichia coli. Its description in RNAcentral is "partial 23S ribosomal RNA". It matches the Rfam family "Bacterial large subunit ribosomal RNA", at positions 2232 to 2720 of the family's 2925-position model. Lineage: Bacteria; Pseudomonadati; Pseudomonadota; Gammaproteobacteria; Enterobacterales; Enterobacteriaceae. The record is from RNAcentral. RNAcentral also lists the same sequence under 1 other name.
CCCGUGAUCCGGGUUGCGGACAGUGUCUGGUGGGUAGUUUGACUGGGGCGGUCUCCUCCUAAAGAGUAACGGAGGAGCACGAAGGUUGGCUAAUCCUGGUCGGACAUCAGGAGGUUAGUGCAAUGGCAUAAGCCAGCUUGACUGCGAGCGUGACGGCGCGAGCAGGUGCGAAAGCAGGUCAUAGUGAUCCGGUGGUUCUGAAUGGAAGGGCCAUCGCUCAACGGAUAAAAGGUACUCCGGGGAUAACAGGCUGAUACCGCCCAAGAGUUCAUAUCGACGGCGGUGUUUGGCACCUCGAUGUCGGCUCAUCACAUCCUGGGGCUGAAGUAGGUCCCAAGGGUAUGGCUGUUCGCCAUUUAAAGUGGUACGCGAGCUGGGUUUAGAACGUCGUGAGACAGUUCGGUCCCUAUCUGCCGUGGGCGCUGGAGAACUGAGGGGGGCUGCUCCUAGUACGAGAGGACCGGAGUGGACGCAUCACUGGUGUUCGGG